This 9439-nucleotide long non-coding RNA is filed under the name Olea europaea subsp. europaea. Lineage: Eukaryota; Viridiplantae; Streptophyta; Magnoliopsida; Lamiales; Oleaceae. The record is from RNAcentral.
AAGACACGUCACUCUAGCAUUUAAAAAUUUCUAGAAUUGCACAUAGUAAAAGUCGAAGCUUUAGGCUGCAUUUACGAAAACCCCACAAAACACAGCAAAAUCUCUUAAUUCUUCAAAAUAUAUACACAGUCAUAAAUCUUAAUUCUUGUAUUCAGUAUAUCGCAAUAGACUAAACGGGACGGUGGGGUGGUUCUGACAGGUAAUCUUCUAAAGAUCCCGUCUUUCCUGCUUUAGAAUUUUCUUUGCCUGAAUUUGUUUCCUUUAAUUCUUGAUCCUUGUGAUUCUGUGAAUUGCUUCUCUUAUUUGCUGGAAAGACACGAUCUUUAAGAUUUUCUUGGUAGUACUUUUUUUUUUUUUUUUUUGCAAUUAAUUUGUUGGUGUUUGAUUUUGGAAUUUGUAGCUAUAUUUUCUUGGAUUUUCUUUUAUUAUUUUUAUUACUAUUUUUUAUUUUUUUGUAAAUGGAAUUGGAUUUUUUGGCUACUCAUUGUUUAUUAUUAUUAUUAUUAUUUUUUUCAAUUCAUUUGAUGAUUUUUAUUAGUUUGAAUUAUUAGUGGGUUCACAUUUAUUGCUAAAAGAAAAGAAUUUUAGCUUGAUUUCUUAAUUAUAAGUCUUGCUCUUACAUUUUACUGCUGAGGAUACUUGAUCAUCAUAUAUAAUUCUUGAGUAUACUUGAUGCCGGAUAUGCACAAACUUGAUAAAGAACAAUAAGAUGAAGAGACUAAAGAGAUCAAAAAGGGAAGAAUGGAGGGCAAAGAGGAUUGUUUUAUUUCAUAAAAUUCAAGUUGUUCUAAAAUGAUUCCCUAUGUCCCCUUUAUAUAGUGAAGGACUUCGAAACUAAACAAACUUCCUUUCUAUCUAGAUAAAAGAUAACAUCAAACCUUCUAUCUUGAUAAAUUGAAAUAAAAGAUAACAUCAAAAUAAAUUGAAUUAAAAGAUGACAUCAACUUUUAAUUCUACUUAAUCCUAGUAUUUCGCCUUGAAUAGGCUUUUAACUCUUUUCGUGUUGCAUCAAUACUGUUGUGCAUAUUUGAGCAUGAAAUUAUCAGUUUAUUUCUGGGUUUUCGUAUUGUUGUUGAGUUUUUUUUGCAUAUGUACGCAUGGUAGAAUGAAUCAGAUCUAUUGACGUGUGUCUUAUAUGUGCAAUGGGUGUGCCUGUUCUUCAGUAGAUGUUUUCGUUUGGAUUUCUUUGCUAUGCUGUUAGUCUGUAUUCUGUAGGUUCCCAAGUUAUUUAGUAGGCGACGUGGAUUGACUAUCUCGAUUUACUAUUUGUUAUAGGAAGUUAAAGAAACCGGUGUUAGAAAAUAGAUAAAUAUGGCUAAUGCGGCGGCUAUUGCUGAGAGGGCAACUGGUGAUAUGUUGAUUGGUCCAGACUGGGCAGUGAAUCUAGAGCUAUGCGACGUCAUAAAUAUGGAUCCUGGGUAUUAUUUUACUACCUUUGCUUUUGCAAAUGCAUAUUUAUUUUUCCAGUGUGACUUUUACUUGAAUAGAUUUGUAUAUUUGUCCUUUGUGGCUCUUGUUUUUUGAGUCUUUAUUCACAUCAUUGAUUUUGUGGUUUUAUUGGCAUAUUGAAUGGUCAUUUUUGUACCACGGAAGACUUUUUGGCAGCUAGAGAAUUUUUCAUAUGUGACCUGAAAUUUUAUUUAUACCAUGAGCAUGGUUGGCUAAGGUUAAAAAUCAACGAUUUUUUCCCAACAUGUUUGGAUAAGCUCCCUUUUUUCUCAUUUUUAAUUAAACAAAAUUUAAUUAGGUUAAAAUAAACUUUUACCUUAUUGUAAGAGACAUACUUAUUUUCAAUUUUGCUCAAUUAGUUUUUAUACUUACUUGUUACUUACAAAUAGACAUAAGUGAACCUUUUUAAGCUUAGCCAUACAAGCUCUACAUGAUAGAUUUUCGGUUGUGCUAAUUUCAAGAUUGAUUGUAAGCAUUUAGAAGCCAUUUACUUGUUUUUCUCCCUUAACAAGUUUUGGCAAUACUUGAUCCCCUACAUGCAUUAGAAAUGGAUGAGUGAGUAGCCAGAAUGUUAUUUUAAGUAGGGUCACUGAAUAAUAAUACAUGGAUAUCCAUCUCACUAUUAAUAGAUAUUUUCAUGAUUAAACAAGGAAAUGUAUGUCCUAUGAGGUUUCCUUUUCCCUAACAAAAUUUUGAGUUCCAAGUGUAGAAUUUGGACUUCUGAAAAGUGUGCAACUAUGAUGAUUGAAUGUGGGUGACACGAUGUGAUGUGUAAUAAGGUCUUUGGGGCAAUAGUGCAUGUAAACGUACAUGUACAACCCAUGAUCUGAUCUGGAUGCUUGAAAUUUUGAAGGAUAAGUCCUUGCUUGAUCCCCAUUAUUUUUAAAAUAUAUAUUUUUCUCCUUUUUUUCUUUCAACCGCACAUUUUUCAAUAAAAUAAUAUUACAUGCAAAUUCAAAAUUUUGUAUUUGUGUGUGUGUAUAUAUAAAGGUGUUUGAUAUUCAUUUUUAUGGAAAAAUGAAUUUUAGAAUAGUAGAUUGAUGGAGAAUGUGUGGACGAAAAAUAAGGAAAAGUUUUGAUUUUUUUUUAUAGGUAAUUAGAGAAUUUUAUUCCUUAAAAGAGAGUACAUUGGAGGUAUACAAUCACUUUAAGCAUGAAAGGAACAACAUGAAAUUAGGCAAUCCUACGACAGGAUUUUUAGCCACUGCAUUAAACCAAGUAUACAAAGUCAACUAAAAUAAUUCACUUAUCUGCUCUGUUGUCUUUAUUUGGUCUUCUAAACAUCGAUCGUUUCGUUCUCUCCAUAUGCACCAUACAAUGCAUCCCGGGAUAAGAUUCCAAAAAAGUUUGCUAUCCUUAUCGCGAAGUUUUCUCCUCCAUGCCCGCACCACGUCUUCUAUACGCCUAGGUAGCACCCAAUCCAUUGAUUAAAAAGCUAGAAUACUGUUCCAAAGUCAACGUAAACCAUCACAAUGAAUGAAUAAAUGAUCAAUCGUCUCUCCAUCCUUCUUGCACAUAUAGCACCACUCGGUUACAUAAAAUCCUUUUCGUCGAAGAUUAACCACCGUUGACACCUGCUCCCUCAUAACUGUCCACAAUAGAAAUGCUACCUGUGGAGGCAAUUUGCUUUGCCACACCAUCUUCCAAGGUAAUAAACUCUUCACAAAUCCCAAAAGAGAUUGAAAGUAUGAGGGGACUGAAAAAAUACCAUCUCGAGCCAACCUCCAUGUUGUACAUGUGGCUCAUAUAGAGUGGAACACAGGCCCUGGAUCAAAUGGGGCGAUGCCGGCGCGGAGUGGAGUGAGAGAAGCGGAGCGACGGCAUCGGCCUUGCGCGGGUUUAAUUCACUGUCUGGUUGUUAGGGUCGUUGAAUGGGUUGGGGGUGCGGGGGCAACGCCCCCGCGGUACGGUACAGGGGUAUUUUCUGUACGGGCCUUAAAGUUUUAUAUGGGCCUAGAUUAGGGUUAGUAUAAAUAAUAUGUUGUAACCCUAUUUUGCAAAAACAGAAUAAAGAAAUCUCCGCUUCGCUCUCGUGGACGUAGACACAUCGCCGAACCACGUAAAAUUCUUGUGUUAAUUUCCGUUUUUCAUCUCUUUAAUAUUGUGCAUAAAAUCCAACACUCCACCUGCUACAAUCACCCUUUCCUACCCGAAUUUGUAUUUCAUGCAGAGCGGUAAAAAACAACGAAUAAUCUUCCAAUUCUCAAUCCUGUAAACCCCUCCCAAGAGUAAUAUUCCAACUAUAGCCCCCAUUAUGAAUGACUAAUACAUCACCCACCAUAGCAGCAGGCUCUAACGCAAUGAGGUACAAUGAAGGAAAUCUCUCCUUUAACGGUUGAUCGCCACACCAACUAUCAUCCCAAAAUCUAAUAUCAGUGUCAUUUCCCACCACAAAAUUCAGUUUGUCCCUAAAAUCACUCCAUCCCCGUCGGAUAUACCUCCACAAGCUUACCCCAUAGGAGCCACGACCCUCAACCGUACACCAAUCCCCCUCCAUCACACCAUACUUUGCCCCAAUGAUUUCUCUCCAAAAGCCCCAAUAAAGCCUUAUUAAACAAAACAAGGCUCCUCACUCCAAGUCCCCCAUCCUCAUAGGCAAACAAACAGUAACCCAAUUAACCAAAUGCAUUUUCCUCUCCUCCCCUAACUCUGCCCACAAGAAUUUUCUUUGAAGUCUCUCUAAUCUAUUUGCCACUGCAACCGGAAUAGGAAACAAUGACAAAAAGUAAGUGGGGAGAUUUGAAAGUGUGGAUUUAAUAAGAGUAAGUCGGCCUCCCUUAAAAAGAUACAUACGCUUUUACCAUGCUAACCUCCUCUCCAUUCUUUCCAUAAUACCAUUUCAAAUAUGUGUACUUUUAUACCGUGCCCCUAGCGGGAGCCCUAAAUAUAACAUGGGCAAUUGUGCAAUCCUACAUCCCAAUAUACCAGCCAACUCCUCCACGUUAGUGACCUCUUCUACUGGAAUAACCUCAUGUCACCCCCGCGGUACGGUACAGGGGUAUUUUCUGUACGGGCCUUAAAGUCUUAUAUGAGCCCAGAUUAGGGUUAGUAUAAAUAAUAUGUUUUAACCCUAUUUUUGACUACUGAAUAAAGAAAUCUCCGCUUCGCUCUCGUGGACGUAGGCACACUGCCGAACCACGUAAAAUUCUUGUGUUGAUUUUCGUUUUCAUCUCUUUAAUAUUGCGCAUAAAAUCCAACACCUCAGAUUUCCCCAAAUUGAUUUUUAAUCCAGACACCGCUUUAAAACAUAGGAGCAAACAACGCAGGUUCCUGAAUUGUUCAUCAUCCACAUCACAUAAGAUCAACGUGUCAUCUGCAAAUAGCAAAUGAGACACCUGCAAUUGGCCAACUAUAAAGCCCUUACCAAACCCUCUCCCAUAGCUCUUUUAAACAUCCUACUAAAAGCUUCCAUCACAAUAACAAAUAGUAAUGGGGAUAGUGGAUCUUCUAGCCGCAAUCCUCUACUAUUCCGAAAAUAACCCUCCGACGUUACGUUGACCAUAACUAAGAACGAAACAGUAGAAAUAUGGAACUGAAUUCAUUUACACCACUUAUCCCCGAAGCCGCACCUCCUAAACAUAUACAAAAGGAACCCUCAGUUCACAUGAUCAUAUGCCUUCUGAAUAUCGAGCUUACAUAGCAUCCUGGGAAUUUCCAAACGCAAUCUUGAAUUAAUGCAUUCAUUCGCUAUAAGCACAGAGUCCAAAAUCUGGCGACCUUUUACGAAAGCAUUCUGAAACUUGAACGCUAAUUUUUCGAGCACCUCCUUUAAUCUGUUCGCCAGGACUUUCGUAAUAAUCUUAUACACCCCACAGACUAGGCUAAUAGGGUGAAAGUCCUUAAUGUCGGUCGCUCCCGAUUUUUUAGGAAUCAGCACAACAAAUGUAGCAUUAGAACUUUUUUAGAACAUGCCACGUUCAAAAAAUAUGUAAACACACCCAAAAUUUCCAAUCACACCAUCUCCCAACAAGCCUUGUAAAAUGAGAACGAGAAACCGUUCGGUCCAGGGGUCUUAUCCUCGUUUAUGCUAAACACUACCUCCUUGAUUUCAUCCUCCUCAAAGGGUCACUCUAACCAACCGGCAUCAUCCUCCGUGAUAGUAGAAAAAUCCAAUCCUUCCAACUCUGGCCUCCACUCAAACUGCUCCCGAUAUAGAUUCUGAUAGAAAUUCACCAGUUGGCUUCCAAUUUCGAGUGGUUCUUCAUAAAUUAUCCCAUCCACUUCCAACAUUGUGAUAGAAUUUUUGCGCCUAUUAGAAUUAGCGAUCUUGUGAAAAAAUUUAGUACAUUUAUCUCCUUUCAACCAAUUGACCUUAGAUUUCUGACGCUAAGCAAUCUCCUCCAUCUCCACCAACCUCUCCAAUUCUUCCCUUAAUACUCUACGUUUCUCCUUCUCCUCCUCAGUCAACCUUCGACUCUCCUCCCACCUAUCCAACUCAUCUAUCUCCGAAAGAUACUGAAUUUUACGACAGUUCACAUUGCCCACAACCUCCUCAUUCCAUUUCUUUAAAUCCCUUUUUAAAGACUUCAACUUCUGAUCCAACACAAAACUAGGAGACCCCCUGAUAUCGUAAGAUGCCCAUCAAGUCUGUACUUGCUCCCUAAAACCUUCAACUUUCAACCACAUUUUCUCGAACCUAAAAGGCCUUCGUCUUCCACCCGUCUUGUUCCCAGUUAAUAAAUGGGGAACUGAUCAGAGUACACCCUCCCCAAUCUUCUCUGAAUGACAUUUGAAUACUUAGCCUCCCACUCUCCGCAUAUCAAGAACCUGUCUAUACAAGAAAGAACAGGUUGGUCCCGAUCAGAUGACCAGGUAAAAUCUCCUCCAAUCAUAGGCAAAUCCACCAACAUAUUCUCCCUUAUAAAGUCUGAAAACUCCUCCAUAGCCCCCGUGAGUCUCCCACCGCUCGACCUCUUAAUAGGAAAUCGAACCACAUUAAAGUCACCUCCUAUACAUGUUGGUAGAUUUCACCAAGCCAUCAUUCCAGCCAGUUCAUCCCACAAGCCCCGUCUACUGUCAUCAGUAUUAGGCCCAUAAACACCUAUGAACAUCCACUGAAAUCCAUCCUCAAUGUUUCUGAACGACAUCGAUAUUGAGAACAAUCCUACACUCACCUCUUCCAUCUCAAGCACUCUGGUGUCCCACAUGACUAAUAUGCUUCUAGAAACCCCUGAUGAUCCCAUAAACUGAUACCUUAUAUGCUGUCCCCCUCAUAAGCUACUGAUCACCGCCCUCGAGAUGACCUCCAUCUUAGUUUCUUGUAAGCAUACAAGAUCCGCUCCUUAGCCCCUUAGCAGAUGUCGAAUGCCCAUUCUUUUCUCAAUUUCAUUAAGUCCCCUUACAUUCCAGCUAAUGAUUCAUGGUAUCAUUUUAACAGUCCGGCAUCCCUUCCCAGUACUCCAUUCUUGGACUCACCACCCUUGCCAUCAUAAUUAACUGACCAUUCGAGCCUCUUAAGUUCACGAUUGCCCUUUCUUCUUAAUUUACCUUCUUGUUUACUCAUCUCGUGUCCCCUAUUGGUCUCCAAAUCCUCAAAUAAUUGUAGUAAUCUGUCUUUGUAUCCAUCACAAGACGCUUCCAUUAACUUACUGAAAUCCUGAAUUUUCUGUAGAACCUAGUUCGAAGGUGGGUGUCCAGCUUCGAAUCCAAUCAAUUCCCCUGUUUCCUCCACCUGUAUGACAUCACUUUCUAUUUCUCCCUUCUUGGUUCCAUCUACCCACAACACCAGUGUUUUUCUGUCCCCAAGUCACUUGCCUUCAUUGACUUAGAGUUCCUUCUAUUAUAUGUGUUCGCAACCCUUGUUGUCAAAGGUGUUGCGUCGUGCUCUAUCACCCCUGAGGUAACUAGAUCAUUUGACAGUACAUGCCUCGUCCCUUGGUCACCUAGUAAAAGCCCAUCACCGUGUGGGACUGUGUCCAUUGCACCCAUCAUUACUGUCUCCAAGUUCACCAUACUCGGGUCCCCUUCUUUAGACAAAGGUACCACCUCUCGGUCUACAUCGGUCCCCGUGUCUAUCUCAUCCAUAUCCAUCCCCUCUAAGACAUCACCGUUGUCAUAGUUAGAGUGCCCCUCAUCCGUUUCAAUCCGAUCAAUAGACUCACAAGUGAUUUCGAGUCUUCCCUGCUUUACUUGAUUAUGUGCCGAUUUCUUCUUAUUAAAACCCGAUGCUUGUUUUCCAACAGCUGGAUACUCAUCCAAACCCACCCCACACUUGUGGCAACAUAACAACUUCUAGGGACCCAUUUCAUACCCACUUCCCACUAGCCUAAUCAAUUCCUCCAACGCUCCUUUCAAUUCCUGGACAUGGGCCAUGAUUUCAACCCUAUUCAAACAACAAUCUUGACCUUCGUUUAUACUGACAUUGAUAGUCAUCUCCUUUUGCUGUCGCAUUCGCUGGUUAGCAUGCUUCGAGGCAUGUAAGUUUGCUGUCACAUCUGCAUAAGUCAAUUUUUGUCGAUUACGUUCAUUCAUCAGUCGACGUUUUGCCUUAUCCCUAGCAACAAAAGAAUCAACAACAUUUUGAAACACUCGCGAGAUUGAUGCCCAUCCUUCUCUAUUCGUACCUUCCGGCACCAUCACAACGCCCUUCCAACGCCUAUCCCUGUACUGCGCUAUCAUCAAGUACCUACCACUGCCCGUCUUUCUGGUUUUCCGGCGUCGGCGUGUGCCUGCCACCCGCCGUCACACGUGCCGUUCCGGCGGCGCGUGGGUCCCUCAAUGCCGCCCCCUCGUCGGAAUCGCUUGCGCAUUUCGUCAGUUAGGCGCGUUUGUCAGGCAGGUGGCCGGAUUUUGCAGAAUCUGGAUCAGGAUACCCUGUUUUCCCACCUCUACUCUGAUCUCAUUGCCGGUUUCUCCAGCUAGGGUGGCGGUGCUAGGGUUUCCACCUAGGGCCGCUACCUGAUUGUGUGGCUUAUUAAGUGGCGUAAGGCUGGUGAAUGGGGAUUGGCCGGUCGAUGUGAUGUUGCCGUCGCCGAUGACUAUAGGGAACGGUGGUGAUGGGGUGUUCGGUGGCUGGCUAAGGUUGUGGUGUUUGGAUGUUAGGGAGGAGAGAUCCAUCUCUGUGGGAGAGAAAAUUAUGGGAAAAAUCAGAAAUAUUAUGCUUCCACGUGUGGACAAAAAAUUGUAUGUAAGGAAAAUUUUUGAUUUACGUGUAUAUUAUUUUAAUGAAGAAUGUGUGGUUAAAAAGAAGAGAGAGAAAAGUGCAUUUUGAUAAAAAUGAGAAUUAAACAGGACUUAUUGUAUAUAUUUUGAAAACUUGAAUCCAGAUCUCAUUUUGUAAUUGUAGUUUUAGCCCCUUAGUGUUCUCUUGUGAAGGUUGAAGUAGAUGAAUAACAUCAUCUGUCUCAUGAAAUUGAAAUCACAGGCAAGCAAAGGGUGCACUAAAGAUACUCAAGAAAAGAUUGGGAAGUAAAAACCCUAAGAUACAGCUCCUUGCAUUGUUUGUGAGUAUUCUUUGUUUUCCCUUCUCUCCUAGUCUUGGACAUGGCCUCUUUGAUACAUUUACAAACACGAGAAAUUUCUGUAACAUGAUAAAUCUAAAGCAUUAAUUUGUACACAGCAUAUUUUUCAAGAUUUAGUGAUUUACUAUGUAGACUUGGGGAAGGUAUACUUGUAUUAGAAUGUUGGCGGCCGUAUUAGUCAAAAUUUACAAAUAUGUUUCGUUCUAGGUUCUGGAGACUCUUACCAAAAAUUGUGGAGAGAAUCUGUUUCAGCAGAUCAUUGAGCGGGAUAUUCUACAUGAAAUGGUCAAAAUUGUAAAGAAGAAGGUGGUGAUAGUCUUAUUUGCUCAUGAUAUCUUUAGUUUUUAUACCAUGCGAAAUCCUAAUGUACCUUUUAUACAAGCUUUCAAUUUAACUUUUGCAGCCUGAUUUAAAUGUGAGGGAGAAAAUCUUAAUCUUAAUAGACACUUGGCAAGAAGCCUUUGGGGGACCCGGGGGAAGAUUUUCCCAAUACUAUGCUGCCUAUAAUGAACUGAAGGUAAUUUACAUCU